ACGGAGGGUGCAAGCGUUAUCCGGAUUCACUGGGUUUAAAGGGUGCGUAGGCGGGCAGGUAAGUCAGUGGUGAAAUCUUUGGGCUUAACCCGAAAACUGCCAUUGAUACUAUCUGUCUUGAAUAUUGUGGAGGUCAGCGGAAUAUGUCAUGUAGCGGUGAAAUGCUUAGAUAUGACAUAGAACACCUAUUGCGAAGGCAGCUGGCUACGCAUAAAUUGACGCUGAGGCACGAAAGCGUGGGGAUCAAACAGGAUUAGAUACCCUGGUAGUCCACGCCCUAAACGAUGGAUACUCGACAUACGCGAUACACAGUGUGUGUCUGAGCGAAAGCAUUAAGUAUCCCACCUGGGAAGUACGACCGCAAGGUUG
RNAcentral lists this ribosomal RNA (369 nucleotides) under uncultured organism. RNAcentral's name for it is "bacterial SSU rRNA". It matches the Rfam family "Bacterial small subunit ribosomal RNA", at positions 525 to 896 of the family's 1533-position model. The record is from RNAcentral.